Molecule: ribosomal RNA, 510 nt
Filed under: uncultured bacterium
Lineage: Bacteria
Description: partial 16S ribosomal RNA
Rfam family: Bacterial small subunit ribosomal RNA
Source: RNAcentral
GACGAACGCUGGCGGCGUGCUUAACACAUGCAAGUCGAACGAAGAGCGAUGGAAGCUUGCUUCUAUCAAUCUUAGUGGCGAACGGGUGAGUAACGCGUAAUCAACCUGCCCUUCAGAGGGGGACAACAGUUGGAAACGACUGCUAAUACCGCAUACGAUCUAAUCUCGGCAUCGAGGAUAGAUGAAAGGUGGCCUCUACAUGUAAGCUAUCACUGAAGGAGGGGAUUGCGUCUGAUUAGCUAGUUGGAGGGGUAACGGCCCACCAAGGCGAUGAUCAGUAGCCGGUCUGAGAGGAUGAACGGCCAAAUUGGGACUGAGACACGGCCCAGGCUCCUACGGGAGGCAGCAGUGGGGAAUCUUCCGCAAUGGACGAAAGUCUGACGGAGCAACGCCGCGUGAGCGAUGACGGCCUUCGGGUUGUAAAGCUCUGUUAAUCGGGACGAAAGGCCUUCUUGCGAAUAGUGAGAAGGAUUGACGGUACCGGAAUAGAAAGCCACGGCUAACUACGUG